Molecule: ribosomal RNA, 2892 nt
Filed under: Escherichia coli
Lineage: Bacteria; Pseudomonadati; Pseudomonadota; Gammaproteobacteria; Enterobacterales; Enterobacteriaceae
Description: bacterial LSU rRNA
Rfam family: Bacterial large subunit ribosomal RNA
Source: RNAcentral
ACUAAGCGUACACGGUGGAUGCCCUGGCAGUCAGAGGCGAUGAAGGACGUGCUAAUCUGCGAUAAGCGUCGGUAAGGUGAUAUGAACCGUUAUAACCGGCGAUUUCCGAAUGGGGAAACCCAGUGUGUUUCGACACACUAUCAUUAACUGAAUCCAUAGGUUAAUGAGGCGAACCGGGGGAACUGAAACAUCUAAGUACCCCGAGGAAAAGAAAUCAACCGAGAUUCCCCCAGUAGCGGCGAGCGAACGGGGAGCAGCCCAGAGCCUGAAUCAGUGUGUGUGUUAGUGGAAGCGUCUGGAAAGGCGUGCGAUACAGGGUGACAGCCCCGUACACAAAAAUGCACAUGCUGUGAGCUCGAUGAGUAGGGCGGGACACGUGGUAUCCUGUCUGAAUAUGGGGGGACCAUCCUCCAAGGCUAAAUACUCCUGACUGACCGAUAGUGAACCAGUACCGUGAGGGAAAGGCGAAAAGAACCCCGGCGAGGGGAGUGAAAAAGAACCUGAAACCGUGUACGUACAAGCAGUGGGAGCACGCUUAGGCGUGUGACUGCGUACCUUUUGUAUAAUGGGUCAGCGACUUAUAUUCUGUAGCAAGGUUAACCGAAUAGGGGAGCCGAAGGGAAACCGAGUCUUAACUGGGCGUUAAGUUGCAGGGUAUAGACCCGAAACCCGGUGAUCUAGCCAUGGGCAGGUUGAAGGUUGGGUAACACUAACUGGAGGACCGAACCGACUAAUGUUGAAAAAUUAGCGGAUGACUUGUGGCUGGGGGUGAAAGGCCAAUCAAACCGGGAGAUAGCUGGUUCUCCCCGAAAGCUAUUUAGGUAGCGCCUCGUGAAUUCAUCUCCGGGGGUAGAGCACUGUUUCGGCAAGGGGGUCAUCCCGACUUACCAACCCGAUGCAAACUGCGAAUACCGGAGAAUGUUAUCACGGGAGACACACGGCGGGUGCUAACGUCCGUCGUGAAGAGGGAAACAACCCAGACCGCCAGCUAAGGUCCCAAAGUCAUGGUUAAGUGGGAAACGAUGUGGGAAGGCCCAGACAGCCAGGAUGUUGGCUUAGAAGCAGCCAUCAUUUAAAGAAAGCGUAAUAGCUCACUGGUCGAGUCGGCCUGCGCGGAAGAUGUAACGGGGCUAAACCAUGCACCGAAGCUGCGGCAGCGACACUAUGUGUUGUUGGGUAGGGGAGCGUUCUGUAAGCCUGUGAAGGUGUACUGUGAGGUAUGCUGGAGGUAUCAGAAGUGCGAAUGCUGACAUAAGUAACGAUAAAGCGGGUGAAAAGCCCGCUCGCCGGAAGACCAAGGGUUCCUGUCCAACGUUAAUCGGGGCAGGGUGAGUCGACCCCUAAGGCGAGGCCGAAAGGCGUAGUCGAUGGGAAACAGGUUAAUAUUCCUGUACUUGGUGUUACUGCGAAGGGGGGACGGAGAAGGCUAUGUUGGCCGGGCGACGGUUGUCCCGGUUUAAGCGUGUAGGCUGGUUUUCCAGGCAAAUCCGGAAAAUCAAGGCUGAGGCGUGAUGACGAGGCACUACGGUGCUGAAGCAACAAAUGCCCUGCUUCCAGGAAAAGCCUCUAAGCAUCAGGUAACAUCAAAUCGUACCCCAAACCGACACAGGUGGUCAGGUAGAGAAUACCAAGGCGCUUGAGAGAACUCGGGUGAAGGAACUAGGCAAAAUGGUGCCGUAACUUCGGGAGAAGGCACGCUGAUAUGUAGGUGAAGUCCCUCGCGGAUGGAGCUGAAAUCAGUCGAAGAUACCAGCUGGCUGCAACUGUUUAUUAAAAACACAGCACUGUGCAAACACGAAAGUGGACGUAUACGGUGUGACGCCUGCCCGGUGCCGGAAGGUUAAUUGAUGGGGUUAGCGCAAGCGAAGCUCUUGAUCGAAGCCCCGGUAAACGGCGGCCGUAACUAUAACGGUCCUAAGGUAGCGAAAUUCCUUGUCGGGUAAGUUCCGACCUGCACGAAUGGCGUAAUGAUGGCCAGGCUGUCUCCACCCGAGACUCAGUGAAAUUGAACUCGCUGUGAAGAUGCAGUGUACCCGCGGCAAGACGGAAAGACCCCGUGAACCUUUACUAUAGCUUGACACUGAACAUUGAGCCUUGAUGUGUAGGAUAGGUGGGAGGCUUUGAAGUGUGGACGCCAGUCUGCAUGGAGCCGGCCUUGAAAUACCACCCUUUAAUGUUUGAUGUUCUAACGUUGACCCGUGAUCCGGGUUGCGGACAGUGUCUGGUGGGUAGUUUGACUGGGGCGGUCUCCUCCUAAAGAGUAACGGAGGAGCACGAAGGUUGGCUAAUCCUGGUCGGACAUCAGGAGGUUAGUGCAAUGGCAUAAGCCAGCUUGACUGCGAGCGUGACGGCGCGAGCAGGUGCGAAAGCAGGUCAUAGUGAUCCGGUGGUUCUGAAUGGAAGGGCCAUCGCUCAACGGAUAAAAGGUACUCCGGGGAUAACAGGCUGAUACCGCCCAAGAGUUCAUAUCGACGGCGGUGUUUGGCACCUCGAUGUCGGCUCAUCACAUCCUGGGGCUGAAGUAGGUCCCAAGGGUAUGGCUGUUCGCCAUUUAAAGUGGUACGCGAGCUGGGUUUAGAACGUCGUGAGACAGUUCGGUCCCUAUCUGCCGUGGGCGCUGGAGAACUGAGGGGGGCUGCUCCUAGUACGAGAGGACCGGAGUGGACGCAUCACUGGUGUUCGGGUUGUCAUGCCAAUGGCACUGCCCGGUAGCUAAAUGCGGAAGAGAUAAGUGCUGAAAGCAUCUAAGCACGAAACUUGCCCCGAGAUGAGUUCUCCCUGACUCCUUGAGAGUCCUGAAGGAACGUUGAAGACGACGACGUUGAUAGGCCGGGUGUGUAAGCGCAGCGAUGCGUUGAGCUAACCGGUACUAAUGAACCGUGAGGCUUAACC